AUUGAACGCUGGCGGCAGGCCUAACACAUGCAAGUCGAACGGUAACAGGAAGAUGCUUGCUUCUUUGCUGACGAGUGGCGGACGGGUGAGUAAUGUCUGGGAAACUGCCUGAUGGAGGGGGAUAACUACUGGAAACGGUAGCUAAUACCGCAUAACGUCGCAAGACCAAAGAGGGGGACCUUCGGGCCUCUUGCCAUCGGAUGUGCCCAGAUGGGAUUAGCUAGUAGGUGGGGUAACGGCUCACCUAGGCGACGAUCCCUAGCUGGUCUGAGAGGAUGACCAGCCACACUGGAACUGAGACACGGUCCAGACUCCUACGGGAGGCAGCAGUGGGGAAUAUUGCACAAUGGGCGCAAGCCUGAUGCAGCCAUGCCGCGUGUAUGAAGAAGGCCUUCGGGUUGUAAAGUACUUUCAGCGGGGAGGAAGGGAGUAAAGUUAAUACCUUGGCUCAUUGACGUUACCCGCAGAAGAAGCACCGGCUAACUCCGUG
RNAcentral lists this ribosomal RNA (490 nucleotides) under uncultured bacterium. RNAcentral describes it as "partial 16S ribosomal RNA". It matches the Rfam family "Bacterial small subunit ribosomal RNA", at positions 30 to 507 of the family's 1533-position model. The record is from RNAcentral.